GCCAUUUAAAGUGGUACGCGAGCUGGGUUCAGAACGUCGUGAGACAGUUCGGUCCCUAUCUGCCGUGGGCGUUGGAUGAUUGAAGGGAGUUGCUCCUAGUACGAGAGGACCGGAGUGAACGAACCUCUGGUGUUCGGGUUGUCACGCCAGUGGCACUGCCCGGUAGCUAAGUUCGGAAUCGAUAACCGCUGAAAGCAUCUAAGCGGGAAGCGAGCCCUGAGAUGAGUCAUCCCUGACCCCUUGAGGGUCCUAAAGGGCCGUUGGAGACCACAACGUUGAUAGGUGGGGUGUGUAAGCGCAGUGAUGUGUUGAGCUAACCCAUACUAAUUACCCGUGAGGCUUAACCAUACAACACCCAAGAAGUGUUCU
Molecule: ribosomal RNA, 369 nt
Filed under: Aeromonas veronii
Lineage: Bacteria; Pseudomonadati; Pseudomonadota; Gammaproteobacteria; Aeromonadales; Aeromonadaceae
Description: bacterial LSU rRNA
Rfam family: Bacterial large subunit ribosomal RNA
Source: RNAcentral